CACGGGUCAGACUCCUACGGGAGGCAGCAGUCGGGAAUUUUGGGCAAUGGGCGCAAGCCUGACCCAGCAACGCCGCGUGAAGGAUGAAGCAUUUCGGUGUGUAAACUUCAUAAGAGUGGGAAGAAUAAGUGGGGGGGAAUAUCCCCCAUGAUGACGGUACCAUUUGUAAGCUCCGGCUAACUCCGUGCCAGCAGCCGCGGUAAUACGGGGGGAGCAAGCGUUGUUCGGAUUUACUGGGCGUAAAGGGCGCGUAGGCGGCGCGACAAGUCACUUGUGAAAUCUCCGGGCUUAACCCGGAGCGGCCAAGUGAUACUGUCGUGCUUGAGUGCGGAAGGGGCUACUGGAAUUCUCGGUGUAGCGGUGAAAUGCGUAGAUAUCGAGAGGAACACCUGCGGCGAAGGCGGGUAGCUGGGCCGACAC
RNAcentral lists this ribosomal RNA (420 nucleotides) under uncultured soil bacterium C0215. RNAcentral describes it as "bacterial SSU rRNA". It matches the Rfam family "Bacterial small subunit ribosomal RNA", at positions 325 to 740 of the family's 1533-position model. The record is from RNAcentral.